This 54-nucleotide transfer RNA is filed under the name Ursus arctos (brown bear). RNAcentral's name for it is "partial tRNA-Asp". Lineage: Eukaryota; Metazoa; Chordata; Mammalia; Carnivora; Ursidae. The record is from RNAcentral.
AAAUUACAUAACUUUGUCAGGGUUAAAUUAUAGGUGAAAAUCCUUUAUAUCUUU